This 3020-nucleotide long non-coding RNA is filed under the name Macaca mulatta (Rhesus monkey). RNAcentral describes it as "lncRNA (ENSMMUG00000049826.1)". The record is from RNAcentral. Lineage: Eukaryota; Metazoa; Chordata; Mammalia; Primates; Cercopithecidae.
UUGGAGCUUGCUCUCUUGCAUCUCUGCCAUUGCCAUGAGAAUAAACAAGUCCAGGCAAGUCUACCCAUCCCAGGAGGAGGCUGAGGGUCUUGUGGAGCAGAUGAGGUUCAUCCAGAUCAGAUGACAGCUGUGGAGUCCUAGAGAGGUGCAUUGAAGGUUCUGACUGCUGAAAACAGAAAAUACAAAAAGAUUAAUGGGCCCGUUACCAAAGGAUUCACUGCCGACAGACAUGAGCUGCCUGUUCCCAUUUAGUAUCUCUGCAUCUUCCUGAAGGCUGAGUUUUAUUAUUUGACUCCUCAUAUCCCUUUAAACAAUAGGCUGUACAUAAAAUAAAAUCUACUGAAUCUCAGCUGAGGCUCUAGCAUGAUGCUUUCUGAGAUAUUUCAGAAUAUUUUUCCAAGUUUAUUUACAAGAUGAGUAUUUAUAUUCCAUUUAUUGGACAUAUUCAUUUGUUUUUGUUUUUGUCUCAGGAAGACAAGAGAAGGCAUUUAUAAGCUGUCAGUCUCACCUCACAAGGUCAGAACUGAAAGUUCUGUGUAGAAAAAAUUGAAGUCCAGGAUUCAAAUAUGUUAUAUUGCUGACUUAUGACUGUGCCAGGUCAGAUGGUUUCAGCAACCUUGAGAGAUUAAGACCAUGGAUUCGUGUUCCAUGUAAUUUCAUGAGUUUUGUUCUGUCCCAUGGCUUCAGAUCAUGGUCAUAGCUCUAACCAGCUGUCUUGUAAAUGUAUGUCAUGUGUUUUAAGAAGUAUUUGCUCUGACCUGAAGCUUGGUGUUGAGUUCUUGCUACCUGUGAAUGGACCUUCUUCCCCAUCUUGGACCUAUCAAUGCUGAGCAUGUUCUCGAACCAUAGCUGGAAAGGCUAAGUCUCUUGGCACAAGAAGUCUUGUCUACCUGGUUGAACCCUGACUGUCAGAUGGUAUGCCUAAGCUCGAUGACUUUCCAUCAUCUUACUGAGCAGAUGUAAUGUCAGGCCCUAAACCUUCCCCCAAACUUAUUUGCACAGCAUUGAAUAAGAUGUCAUGAGCCUGGCCAGCCUAUCCUCAGCUACAGCCAUGGACAGCACCUCCUGGAAUGUUUGGCACCAUUUGGAAGAGGUCAAACAAGUAGAUAUGGAUACAUUUCAAAUAAAACAAUUGUCAGGGAACCAAAGAGCUACCCAAAAGAUGGACUUUGAACUUUUCCUCUGCUGGAAUUCAUUGAGAGAUAAUACAGAUGAAAACAAGUAGGCCUUUUUAUUUAAAUACAAAUAGUGAGGUGGGACAUGCCCUAGAUAUUAAAAUAUACCAGUAAGCUGAAAUAAGUAAGUAUUGAGGUACAAUUGUGAAAAAUGGACAGACACACCAAGAAGAGAUAACCUUGAUAUAGACUUUGAUAUUUAUAAUUGAUCUAUAAUAAAGGAGGAAUUACAAAGUCAAUAAAUGGAGUUGAAAAUUUUAGUAUUUUAGGAGAAAAGAAUUGACUUAGAUAUUCCUCCCAGAGUAUUUUACAAAAUAGUUUCCGAAUGGAUAAGAUGGAUAUGAGAGUUAUGUGUACAAAAUGAAACUUAAAACAUCACAAGGAAUUGUAGAAGGAUUUCUGUCUAACCUCUACAUGGUAAAGGACUUUUUUUUUAACAUAAAAACAAUGGGGUAAGAUCAAAUAGAUUUAACUAAUAAAAAUGUAAAACAUCUGUAGAUUUUAAAAAAUCAAUAUUUAUCUUCAAAGACAAACAAUGAAAGAAAUGGUUAUCAAGGAGGGAUUCUGAGAAUAUAGAAAUGACAGUGGCAUAGUUUUUAAAUCUCCCAUAAUUCCUACAUAAAACAGAUGGAGCAAUUAGACAGCCAAAAACUAUAAAAUCCAUGGACAACAUUUACAAGGUUAAGUGACAAAGUAUUCUCACAAACCCUAAAAUACAAGCAGAUGGGGCAAACCACCAGCAGCUUCAAGAUCUUCAAGGUGUCAGUGUAUGUGCCAGAAGAAGCUGAGAGAGGAAGGGGGAAUCUGACAGAUUUGAGAAUAGGCCAACCCCAAAACUGGGAAGCAAAGCAGGGUCUCACGAGAAUAGCAGUUGAACCUAGGAGGGAUUUUACUCAAUUGUAUUAGUCAGGGUUCUCCAGAGACACAGAAUCAAUAGGAUGGACAGGUGGAUAGAUAGAUAGAUAGAUAGAUAGAUAGAUAGAUAGAUAGAUAGGAGGAGAUUUAUUGUGGCAAUCAGCUCACAUGAUUAUUAUGGCUCAGAAGUUCCACAAUACGUGGUCUGCAAGCUUUAGGCCCAGGGGAGAUGAUGGUGAAACUCCCAGUCCAACACCAAAGGCCUAAUAACUGGGGAGGCUGCUGGUGAAAGUCCCAGAAUCUAAAGGCCCAAGGACCAGGAGCUCUGAGGGCAGCAGAUCACAAUGUCCCAGCUCAAGAAGAGAGAGAGAAUUGUCCCUUUCUUCACUUUUUUGUUCUAUCAAGUGGAGCCUCAAUGGAGGCUCACCCCCAUUGGUGAGGGCAGAUCUUUCCUCAGACUGCUGAUUAGAAUGUGAAUCUUUUCCAGAAACACCCUCAUAGACACACUUAGAAAUAAUGUUUCACCAGCUAUCUGGGCAUCCCUUAAUCUAGUCAAGUUGACACAUAAAAUUACCCAUCACACCAUUCCAGUCAUAGUGAGUGCAGGGAGGUUUGUAAGGAGUUCUGGAGAGACCAGAGCAGUCUUGUCUUUACCUUGCCAGCUCUUGAAAGGAGCAGUCAGGGCUCCCCCUGGGAGGGUUCUCAGGAAUCAUAGAGGUGGUGGUGGUUUUCGCAUUGUUAUUCUGAGGCUGUUGUGUGUAUAAAAUGGGAUAAUGCAAAUUAAUAAUUUAUUGAAUAGUCUAUUAUUUCCUGUGUACUUGACAACCAGGAUUUUGGGUAUAGAAGAAAGGAAGUACAGGUGUCCUAUAGAUUAAGUAAAAAUCUUAUAGUACUGAAAUUAAACUGGAAAGUCCGUAUGAAUUCAUGAGGUGUGUGUGUGUAUUCAGUUCUGCCAGAAUAUAACAUAUGCGUUCCUAAAAAAAAAAAAAA